Molecule: unclassified non-coding RNA, 333 nt
Filed under: soil metagenome
Description: partial contains 5.8S ribosomal RNA, internal transcribed spacer 2, and large subunit ribosomal RNA
Rfam family: 5.8S ribosomal RNA (bases 1-120)
Source: RNAcentral
GAUGAAGAACGUAGCAAAAUGCGAUAAGUAAUGUGAAUUACAGAAUUCAGUGAAUCAUCGAAUCUUUGAACGCACAUUGCGCCCGCCAGUAUUCUGGCGGGCAUGCCUGUUCGAGCGUCAUUUCAACCCUCAAGCUCAGCUUGGUGUUGGGACUCGCGGUAACCCGCGUUCCCCAAAUCGAUUGGCGGUCACGUCGAGCUUCCAUAGCGUAGUAAUCAUACACCUCGUUACUGGUAAUCGUCGCGGCCACGCCGUAAAACCCCAACUUCUGAAUGUUGACCUCGGAUCAGGUAGGAAUACCCGCUGAACUUAAGCAUAUCAAUAAGCGGAGGA